Molecule: ribosomal RNA, 440 nt
Filed under: uncultured bacterium
Lineage: Bacteria
Description: partial 16S ribosomal RNA
Rfam family: Bacterial small subunit ribosomal RNA
Source: RNAcentral
ACUACGGGUGGCAGCAGUGGGGGAUAUUGCACAAUGGGGGGAACCCUGAUGCAGCGACGCCGCGUGGGUGAAGAAGCGCCUCGGCGCGUAAAGCCCUGUCAGCAGGGAAGAAAAUGACGGUACCUGAAGAAGAAGCCCCGGCUAACUACGUGCCAGCAGCCGCGGUAAUACGUAGGGGGCAAGCGUUAUCCGGAUUUACUGGGUGUAAAGGGGGCGCAGACGGCGAUGCAAGCCAGGAGUGAAAGCCCGGGGCCCAACCCCGGGACUGCUCUUGGGACUGCGUGGCUGGAGUGCAGGAGGGGCAGGCGGAAUUCCUGGUGUAGCGGUGAAAUGCGUAGAUAUCAGGAGGAACACCGGUGGCGAAGGCGGCCUGCUGGACUGCAACUGACGUUGAGGCCCGAAAGCGUGGGGAGCAAACAGGAUUAGAUACCCCUGUAGUC